CUAGUGCACUACUAGCGCACCCUUCGCGUCAACGGACAAACUCGGGACCGUUCGUUUGUCUCGUGCGAUUUUUUAAUUCGAAUUAAAGGAAUUAUUUCAAGCGCCGAUCAUUCUUCCUGAUAAGAAAUUCCUGAUAAUAUGGAUCCAGCAUUGUUGAGGGAGCGAGAGCUCUUUAAGAAAAGGGCCCUAACUACGCCAACCGUCGAGAAGAAAAAGAAGGAACAAGAAAAAGAUAUCGGUCGUGAUGAUCCCCAUAAAAAGAAGCCAAAACCUUCGACAGUUUCGACCGGACCAAAGUUGGAUAUGGUCAAUUACAAAACCAUGGCCGGGAGUACCCAAUACAAAUUUGGCGUUUUGGCAAAAAUAGUAAAGCAUAUGAGAGCCAGGCAUCAAGAUGGGGAUGAUCAUCCUUUAACUUUAGAAGAAAUCUUGGACGAAACUAAUCAAUUAGACGUAGGAUCUAAAGUAAAAACGUGGCUUCAGACGGAGGCAUUGUUAAAAAAUCCUAAAAUAGAUGUUACACCGGAUGGUAGGUUUGCGUUUAAAGCUAUGUACAAAAUUAAGGACAAGAAAUCGCUAUUGAGACUUUUAAAGCAACAAGAUCUGAAGGGACUUGGGGGAAUUUUAUUAGAAGAUAUACAAGAAAGUUUACCCCAUUGCGAUAAGCAUUUAAAGAGCUUACAAAACGAAAUAUUACUUAUAACGCGGCCUCUUGACAAAAAAAAAAUCGUCUUUUACAACGAUAAAACGGCUCAUUUUCCUAUCGACGAGGAAUUUCAAAAAUUAUGGAGAGCCGUGGCGGUAGAUGCAAUGGACGACCAGAAAAUAGACGAAUAUCUGGAAAAACAGGGAAUCAGAUCGAUGCAAGAUCAUGGCCCGAAAAAAUUGGCACCCGUUAAAAGAAAAAAGCCCAAUACUAAGAGGAAACAGUUUAAAAAGCCAAGAGACAAUGAACAUUUAGCGGACGUUUUAGAGACUUACGACGACGCUAAAUAAAUGAUUCGUAUUAUCUGUAAAUAUCUACGUAAUCUUGAGCGAUGGCUGUGUUUGUUCGUGUGCCUGUGAAAAAUAUGAUUGGGGAGUCUAACUGGAUAUAGAGUAACACAUCUCUUCGAUACUAUAAUAAAUAAAUUUUAUCCGUGGUAGGUGUCUGUGUUUAAUAUUCAAAAGCCUUGGAUCGAAUCGAAGAUUAUAAACGAAUCGAUGAUGGACCUUUCCAAAGUCGUGAAUUUAUUAACACUUUGCCGUUAUUUCUCGAUACCGCUUAACAACCUACGACAAAGCCUAUAGCCUUUAAUCAAAGGCAGUUGUCUGUCUCUGCUGUAAUUAUUCAUCGAUAACUCAUUAAUCAACGGACUUUGGGAAAGCGAUGCUUCCUUCUGAAGUAUCUAGUUUGUGGCCGUCAAACUGUUACUACGAAAUAAAACGAAUCACGAGGUUUUUCAUCCAUUGGCAAAAGAUAAUUUACUUUAUAAACGUGCGUUAUUAAAACUUGUACACGAUUUGUAGUUGUUCUACGUAGUAGAAAUGGUAUUGGAUAAAAAAUAUUAACAGUAUGAUACAAUC
Vespa velutina is the source of this 1566-nucleotide RNA transcript. It is a transcript of the gene named general transcription factor IIE subunit 2, with no coding region annotated. The record is from RefSeq and is a predicted model, not a curated record. Lineage: Eukaryota; Metazoa; Arthropoda; Insecta; Hymenoptera; Vespidae. The transcript has 5 exons.